Molecule: transfer RNA, 97 nt
Filed under: Actinoplanes cyaneus
Lineage: Bacteria; Bacillati; Actinomycetota; Actinomycetes; Micromonosporales; Micromonosporaceae
Description: tRNA-Ala
Source: RNAcentral
UCGCCAGGUGGUCGAGGAACGCCAUGGCGGCCGCCUCGCCACCGGUCGUGGUCGCGUUGGCGUGCGUGAACCCGAGGAUCCGCACCGCGCCGGUGAC